CCUACGGGUGGCAGCAGUGGGGAAUAUUGCACAAUGGGGGGAACCCUGAUGCAGCGACGCCGCGUGAGUGAAGAAGUAUUUCGGUAUGUAAAGCUCUAUCAGCAGGGAAGAAAAUGACGGUACUUGACUAAUAAGCUCCGGCGAACUACGUGCCAGCAGCCGCGGUAAUACGAAGGGGGCAAGCGUUAUCCGGAUUUACUGGGUGGAAAGGGAGCGGAGACGGUUAUGCAAGUCUGAAGUGAAAGCCGAAGGCUUAACCAGAGGACUGCAUUGGAGACUGUGAGACUGGAGUGCAGGAGAGGGAAGCGGAAUUCCGAGUGUAGCGGUGAAAUGCGUAGAUAUUAGGAAGAACACCAGUGGCGAAGGCGGCUUACUGGACUGUAACUGACGUUGAGGCUCGAAAGCGUGGGGAGCAAACAGGAUUAGAUACCCCAGUAGUC
RNAcentral lists this ribosomal RNA (440 nucleotides) under uncultured bacterium. Its description in RNAcentral is "partial 16S ribosomal RNA". It matches the Rfam family "Bacterial small subunit ribosomal RNA", at positions 338 to 795 of the family's 1533-position model. The record is from RNAcentral.